Non-coding RNA from Pelobates cultripes (western spadefoot toad), 236 nucleotides. NCBI's taxonomy places the organism in Eukaryota, Metazoa, Chordata, Amphibia, Anura, Pelobatidae. The record is from the annotation of a GenBank genome assembly.
AUGGGUGACUAGUGGCAGAGUGAGGGAGGGAAGGGGUGACUAGUGACAGAGUAAGGGGAUGACUGGUGACAGAGUGAGGGGGGGGGUGACUGUCACUAGUCACCCCACCCCUCUCUCUGUCACUAGUUACUCCCUCCCUAACUCUGUCACUGUGUCACCCGCUCCCUCACUCUGUCACUAAUCACCCCCUCUCUCCCUAGUCACCCCCUUCCUUACUCUGUCACUAGUCACCCCAU